Molecule: ribosomal RNA, 253 nt
Filed under: uncultured bacterium
Lineage: Bacteria
Description: partial 16S ribosomal RNA
Rfam family: Bacterial small subunit ribosomal RNA
Source: RNAcentral
UACGGAGGGAGCUAGCGUUGUUCGGAAUUACUGGGCGUAAAGCGUGCGUAGGCGGUUAUUCAAGUCAGAGGUGAAAGCCCGGGGCUCAACCCCGGAACUGCCUUUGAAACUAGAUAGCUAGAAUCUUGGAGAGGUCAGUGGAAUUCCGAGUGUAGAGGUGAAAUUCGUAGAUAUUCGGAAGAACACCAGUGACGAAGGCGACUGACUGGACAAGUAUUGACGCUGAGGCACGAAAGCGUGGGGAUCAAACAGG